RNAcentral lists this ribosomal RNA (705 nucleotides) under uncultured bacterium. RNAcentral describes it as "bacterial SSU rRNA". It matches the Rfam family "Bacterial small subunit ribosomal RNA", at positions 69 to 788 of the family's 1533-position model. The record is from RNAcentral.
GAGGAGGUAACUCCGAAUUUCUUCUAGCGGCGGACGGGUGAGUAACGCGUGAGCAAUCUUUCCUAAACAGGGGGAUAACGCAUCGAAAGGUGCACUAAUACCGCAUAAGACCACGGAGUCACAUGACUUAGGGGUCAAAGGAGGAAUCCGGUUUAGGGUGAGCUCGCGUCUGAUUAGCUAGUUGGUGGGGUAACGGCCUACCAAGGCGACGAUCAGUAGCCGACCUGAGAGGGUGAUCGGCCACACUGGGACUGAGACACGGCCCAGACUCCUACGGGAGGCAGCAGUGGGGAAUAUUGGGCAAUGGGGGAAACCCUGACCCAGCAACGCCGCGUGAGGGAAGAAGGUCUUCGGAUCGUAAACCUCUGUCCUCAAUGAAGAGCAGAAGACGGUAAUUGAGGAGGAAGCCCCGGCUAACUACGUGCCAGCAGCCGCGGUAAUACGUAGGGGGCAAGCGUUAUCCGGAAUGAUUGGGCGUAAAGGGCGCGUAGGCGGCCGUUUAAGAAUGGAGUGAAAGUCCUGCUUUUAAGGUGGGAAUUGCUUUGUUAACUGAGCGGCUUGAGUGUAGGAGAGGUUAGUGGAAUUCCCGGUGUAGCGGUGAAAUGCGUAGAGAUCGGGAGGAACACCAGUGGCGAAGGCGACUAACUGGACUAUAACUGACGCUGAGGCGCGAAAGUGUGGGGAGCAAACAGGAUUAGAUACCCU